GUCAGCGAUGAUCGGAUCACUGGGCGUAAGGGCGCGUAGGCGGCGUGCUAAGUCAGAUGUGAAAUCCCACGGCUCAACCGUGGAAGUGCAUUUGAAACUGGCAUGCUUGAGUACCAGAGGGGAAGGUGGAAUUCCCGGUGUAGAGGUGAAAUUCGUAGAUAUCGGGAGGAAUACCGGUGGCGAAGGCGACUUUCUGGCUGGAUACUGACGCUGAGGCGCGAAAGCGUGGGGAGCAAACAGGAUUAGAUACCCUGGUAGUCCACGCCGUAAACGAUGUGAACCAGAUGUUGGAGGUGUUGAUCCCUUCGGUGUCGGAGCUAACGCAUUAAGUUCACCGCCUGGGGAGUACGGUCGCAAGAUUAAAACUCGAAAGAAUUGUCGGGGGCCCUUAUAAUC
RNAcentral lists this ribosomal RNA (396 nucleotides) under uncultured delta proteobacterium. RNAcentral's name for it is "bacterial SSU rRNA". It matches the Rfam family "Bacterial small subunit ribosomal RNA", at positions 534 to 930 of the family's 1533-position model. The record is from RNAcentral. Lineage: Bacteria; Deltaproteobacteria.